UACGUAGGGUGCGAGCGUUAAUCGGAAUUACUGGGCGUAAAGCGUGCGCAGGCGGCUAUGCAAGACAGGUGUGAAAUCCCCGGGCUUAACCUGGGAACUGCACUUGUGACUGCAUGGCUAGAGUGCGUCAGAGGGAGGUGGAAUUCCGCGUGUAGCAGUGAAAUGCGUAGAGAUGCGGAGGAACACCGAUGGCGAAGGCAGCCUCCUGGGAUGACACUGACGCUCAUGCACGAAAGCGUGGGGAGCAAACAGG
Molecule: ribosomal RNA, 253 nt
Filed under: uncultured organism
Description: partial 16S ribosomal RNA
Rfam family: Bacterial small subunit ribosomal RNA
Source: RNAcentral